CAAUAGCUCAACUGGAUAGAGUAUCUGACUUCGAAUCAGAGGGUUGAGGGUUCGAUUCCUUCUUGGC
This 67-nucleotide transfer RNA is filed under the name bovine gut metagenome. It matches the Rfam family "tRNA", at positions 5 to 66 of the family's 71-position model. From Rfam's summary of the family: Transfer RNA (tRNA) molecules are approximately 80 nucleotides in length. Their secondary structure includes four short double-helical elements and three loops (D, anti-codon, and T loops). The record is from RNAcentral.